This 1448-nucleotide ribosomal RNA is filed under the name Staphylococcus hominis. RNAcentral's name for it is "partial 23S ribosomal RNA". It matches the Rfam family "Bacterial large subunit ribosomal RNA", at positions 1476 to 2925 of the family's 2925-position model. Lineage: Bacteria; Bacillati; Bacillota; Bacilli; Caryophanales; Staphylococcaceae. The record is from RNAcentral.
AGUAGGAUAGGCGAAGCGUACGAUUGGAUUGUACGUCUAAGCAGUGAGAUUGAGUGUUAGGCAAAUCCGGCACUCUUAAGAUUGAGCUGUGAUGGGGAGAGGAAAUUGUUUCCUCGAGUCGUUGAUUUCACACUGCCGAGAAAAGCCUCUAGAUAGAGAUUAGGUGCCCGUACCGCAAACCGACACAGGUAGUCAAGAUGAGAAUUCUAAGGUGAGCGAGCGAACUCUCGUUAAGGAACUCGGCAAAAUGACCCCGUAACUUCGGGAGAAGGGGUGCUCUUUAGGGUGCAAGCCCAGAAGAGCCGCAGUGAAUAGGCCCAAGCGACUGUUUAUCAAAAACACAGGUCUCUGCUAAACCGUAAGGUGAUGUAUAGGGGCUGACGCCUGCCCGGUGCUGGAAGGUUAAGAGGAGUGGUUAGCUUCUGCGAAGCUACGAAUCGAAGCCCCAGUAAACGGCGGCCGUAACUAUAACGGUCCUAAGGUAGCGAAAUUCCUUGUCGGGUAAGUUCCGACCCGCACGAAAGGCGUAACGAUUUGGGCACUGUCUCAACGAGAGACUCGGUGAAAUCAUAGUACCUGUGAAGAUGCAGGUUACCCGCGACAGGACGGAAAGACCCCGUGGAGCUUUACUGUAGCCUGAUAUUGAAAUUCGGCACAGCUUGUACAGGAUAGGUAGGAGCCUUUGAAACGUGAGCGCUAGCUUACGUGGAGGCGUUGGUGGGAUACUACCCUAGCUGUGUUGGCUUUCUAACCCGCACCACUUAUCGUGGUGGGAGACAGUGUCAGGCGGGCAGUUUGACUGGGGCGGUCGCCUCCUAAAAGGUAACGGAGGCGCUCAAAGGUUCCCUCAGAAUGGUUGGAAAUCAUUCAUAGAGUGUAAAGGCAUAAGGGAGCUUGACUGCGAGACCUACAAGUCGAGCAGGGUCGAAAGACGGACUUAGUGAUCCGGUGGUUCCGCAUGGAAGGGCCAUCGCUCAACGGAUAAAAGCUACCCCGGGGAUAACAGGCUUAUCUCCCCCAAGAGUUCACAUCGACGGGGAGGUUUGGCACCUCGAUGUCGGCUCAUCGCAUCCUGGGGCUGUAGUCGGUCCCAAGGGUUGGGCUGUUCGCCCAUUAAAGCGGUACGCGAGCUGGGUUCAGAACGUCGUGAGACAGUUCGGUCCCUAUCCGUCGUGGGCGUAGGAAAUUUGAGAGGAGCUGUCCUUAGUACGAGAGGACCGGGAUGGACAUACCUCUGGUGUACCAGUUGUCGUGCCAACGGCAUAGCUGGGUAGCUAUGUAUGGACGGGAUAAGUGCUGAAAGCAUCUAAGCAUGAAGCCCCCCUCAAGAUGAGAUUUCCCAACUUCGGUUAUAAGAUCCCUCAGAGAUGAUGAGGUUAAUAGGUUCGAGGUGGAAGCGUGGUGACACGUGGAGCUGACGAAUACUAAUCGAUCGAAGACUUAAUCAA